CCUACGGGAGGCAGCAGUAGGGAAUAUUGCUCAAUGGGGGAAACCCUGAAGCAGCAAUGCCGCGUGGAGGAUGAAGGUUUUCGGAUUGUAAACUCCUUUUGUUAGAGAGGAUAAUGACGGUAUCUAACGAAUAAGCACUGGCUAAUUCCGUGCCAGCAGCCGCGGUAAGACGGAGGGUGCAAGCGUUACUCGGAAUCACUGGGCGUAAAGAGCGCGUAGGCGGGAUAGCAAGUCAGAUGUGAAAUCCGAUGGCUUAACCAGAGAACUGCAUUUGAAACUGUUAUUCUAGAGUAUGGGAGAGGUAGGUGGAAUUCUUGGUGUAGCGGUAAAAUCCGUAGAGAUCAAGAGGAAUACUCAUUGCGAAGGCGACCUCCUAGAACAUGACUGACGCUGAUGUGCGAAAGCGUGGGGAGCAAACAGGAUUAGAUACCCGGGUAGUC
RNAcentral lists this ribosomal RNA (440 nucleotides) under uncultured bacterium. RNAcentral's name for it is "partial 16S ribosomal RNA". It matches the Rfam family "Bacterial small subunit ribosomal RNA", at positions 338 to 795 of the family's 1533-position model. The record is from RNAcentral.